GAGUUUGAUCAUGGCUCAGAUUGAACGCUGGCGGCAUGCCUAACACAUGCAAGUCGAACGGAAACAGGACGCUGGGAUCUCUUCGGAGUGAACUUGUCGCUGUCGAGUGGCGGACGGGUGAGUAAUGCAUAGGAAAUUGCCUUGAAGUGGGGGAUAGCCCGGAGAAAUCCGGAUUAAUACCGCAUGCGCUCUACGGAGCAAAGCAGGCCUCUGAUUUAAGCUUGCGCUUUGAGAUAUGCCUAUGUCGGAUUAGCUAGUUGGUAGGGUAAAAGCCUACCAAGGCGACGAUCCGUAGCUGGUUUGAGAGGAUGAUCAGCCACACUGGGACUGAGAUACGGCCCAGACUCCUACGGGAGGCAGCAGUGGGGAAUAUUGGACAAUGGGCGCAAGCCUGAUCCAGCAAUGCCGCGUGUGUGAAGAAGGCCUGCGGGUUGUAAAGCACUUUUAUCGGGAAAGAAAACUCAGGGUUAAUACCCUGGGCCUUGACGGUACCCGAAGAAUAAGCACCGG
This 510-nucleotide ribosomal RNA is filed under the name uncultured microorganism. RNAcentral's name for it is "bacterial SSU rRNA". It matches the Rfam family "Bacterial small subunit ribosomal RNA", at positions 9 to 496 of the family's 1533-position model. The record is from RNAcentral.